GAAGAAGAAGAAGGAGAAGUAGAAGAAAGAGAAGCAACUUUAGCAAGCUACAAUGCCUACACAAAUGGAGUCUAGCAGUUCAUAUGGAUAUAUUCGAGAACAACAAAAGAAAUAAGAAGCAAUUGUUCUGCACAGGAAAGUAUAGAAUAGAAGCAGAACAAACAUCAAGUUGUUUAACAAAAUAUACAUAACCUACCGCUAGGAGUUUGUAGUCUCGAG
This 219-nucleotide unclassified non-coding RNA is filed under the name Hevea brasiliensis (rubber tree). The record is from RNAcentral. Lineage: Eukaryota; Viridiplantae; Streptophyta; Magnoliopsida; Malpighiales; Euphorbiaceae.